Molecule: ribosomal RNA, 440 nt
Filed under: uncultured bacterium
Lineage: Bacteria
Description: bacterial SSU rRNA
Rfam family: Bacterial small subunit ribosomal RNA
Source: RNAcentral
AACGCGAAGAACCUUACCCAGACUUGACAUGCAGAUGACAGCUCUAGAAAUAGAGUCUUCCUUCGGGACAUCUGCACAGGUGCUGCAUGGCUGUCGUCAGCUCGUGCCGUGAGGUGUUGGGUUAAGUCCCGCAACGAGCGCAACCCUUAUCAUUAGUUGCCAACAUUUAAGGUGGGAACUCUAAUGAGACUGCCUGGGUUAACCAGGAGGAAGGUGAGGAUGACGUCAAGUCCGCAUGGCCCUUAUGUCUGGGGCUACACACGUGCUACAAUGGUCGGUACAGAAGGCAGCGAACCCGCAAGGCGAAGCAAAUCCCCAAAACCGGCCCCAGUUCAGAUUGUAGUCUGCAACUCGACUACAUGAAGACGGAAUUGCUAGUAAUGACGAGUCAGCAACAUCGUCGUGAAUACGUUCCCGGGCCUUGUACACACCGAGACGAC